UGGGGAAUUUUGCGCAAUGGGCGAAAGCCUGACGCAGCAACGCCGCGUGGAGGAUGAAGGUCUUAGGAUUGUAAACUUCUGUUAAUUGGGAAGAAAUGUUUGAGGUGAAUAUCCUCAAAAGAUGACGUUACCGGUUUAGAAAGCCCCGGCUAACUUCGUGCCAGCAGCCGCGGUAAUACGAAGGGGGCGAGCGUUAUUCGGAAUGAUUGGGUGUAAAGGGCGCGUAGGCGGCUUAAUAAGUCUGUUGUUUAAUCCUCCGGCCUAACUGGAGAAAUGCAAUGGAAACUGUUUCGCUUGAGUAUGAGAGAGAGAAGUGGAAUUCUCGGAGUAGCGGUAAAAUGCGUAGAUCUCGAGAGGAACGCCAAUGGCGAAGGCAGCUUCUUGGAGCAUAACUGACGCU
This 400-nucleotide ribosomal RNA is filed under the name uncultured bacterium. RNAcentral's name for it is "bacterial SSU rRNA". It matches the Rfam family "Bacterial small subunit ribosomal RNA", at positions 355 to 747 of the family's 1533-position model. The record is from RNAcentral.